This 252-nucleotide ribosomal RNA is filed under the name uncultured bacterium. RNAcentral's name for it is "partial 16S ribosomal RNA". It matches the Rfam family "Bacterial small subunit ribosomal RNA", at positions 524 to 776 of the family's 1533-position model. The record is from RNAcentral.
UACGGAGGAUGCGAGCGUUAUCCGGAUUUAUUGGGUUUAAAGGGUGCGUAGGCGGUCUGUUAAGUCAGCGGUAAAAUUGCGGGGCUCAACCUCGCCGAGCCGUUGAAACUGGUAGACUUGAGUGGGCGAGAAGUACGCGGAAUGCGUGGUGUAGCGGUGAAAUGCAUAGAUAUCACGCAGAACUCCGAUUGCGAAGGCAGCGUACCGGCGCCCAACUGACGCUGAAGCACGAAGGCGUUGGUAUCGAACAGG